This 301-nucleotide ribosomal RNA is filed under the name uncultured bacterium. Its description in RNAcentral is "partial 16S ribosomal RNA". It matches the Rfam family "Bacterial small subunit ribosomal RNA", at positions 509 to 807 of the family's 1533-position model. The record is from RNAcentral.
CAGUAGCCACGGUAAUACGAAGGUCCCAAGCGUUGUUCGGAAUCACUGGGCGUAAAGGGAGCGUAGGCGGCGUGGUAAGUCAGAUGUGAAAUCCCGGGGCUCAACCCCGGAACUGCAUCCGAUACUGCCAUGCUCGAGGGUUGGAGAGGUGACUGGAAUUCUCGGUGUAGCAGUGAAAUGCGUGGAUAUCGAGAGGAACACUCGUGGCGAAGGCGAGUCACUGGACAACAUCUGACGCUGAGGCUCGAAGGCUAGGGUAGCGAAAGGGAUUAGAGACCCCGGUAGUCCCUGUCUCUUAUAC